GCUGCAGUGGCGAAGCCAUGGUACCCGCACGAUGUUUUCUGCUAUUGACGUGAACGUUUGUCUUUUAUUUACGUCUUUCAAAGAAGAACCGCGCAUUAAAGGGACACCAAACGAUCAACGAUUUGCACUGAAUUCCAUAAUUUGACUGUUUUCCUCGAAUUUAAAUUCUGAUUCUUUUAUUUACGUUUACGGCUAUUUAUAGCCCCUCUCUCUCGAAGCAGUGCACUGGAAUACAACACAUAUUUCUAUAUGUGGGACAACGGUCAUUAGAGCUCUCUAGUGUCGUCAAAUUUCUUGCAUUGGGAUUGAUCUGUAGGCUCUCUAGUGUCGUCAAAUUUCUUGCAUUGGGAUUGAUCUGCUGCAUGGUUGAAUAAGUGGUACUCCCAACUCUGUGAAAUACACGGACUUAAAUUUGGGAGCUGCAUAUGCAAGCCUACAUUUCAACUAUUUACAUUUCCUUUGGAAAGCAAAUAUCCUGAUGCUCGGAGAAGAUGGAUUAGAAUCGUGAAUAGGCAGACAGAAAAGGCUCGUCAUUGGAAACCAAAACAGUGUCAUAGGGUAUGCUCCCUUCAUUUUAAUGAUAACGAGCCAACAUCUGCAUGGCCUGAUCCAACAAGGAAACUUGGUUAUGAGCUAGACAAAUCUAAACAAGUGAAAUCUCCAAGAGCGGCACCAAAAGAGAGACCUUACUCUGAAGUGGUCAAGCAACAAAGACAGAAACGCAAGCGGAAACAUGUAGCUCCCCACACUGACUCGAUGCCAGACCACUAAGGUAUUCCAGAAGCAGUACCAUUUUUAAACCACUCCUGCAAGAUCAUGACUAUAUCCAUACUACAUGGGAUAUGGACACUCCUCCUGCAAAGAGAUCGAGACCAGAAUCUACAUGUACAUCAAGAAAUGACAUUGCUCUUCAUGACCAAGACUAUGCUGAACCGUCAACAUCAUCAUCUGAGAACUGUAGUGAGUGCAGCAAAAAAGAAGACCAGCUAAUGGAAAUGAAUGAGAAGUUGAAGAAACUUGAGCAAAAAAUAAAAAACCUGAAAAGGUUGCCAAAGCGUAGUGUAUCGUAAGAUAGUUCUAAUGUAGUUCUCAAGUCUGAUAAAGCAGUGAAGGACUAUACUGGAAUAGAGAGUACAGAUACAUUUGUAGCACUUCAUACAUGUAUAUGUAGAACCAAGAGUGAAAAAGCUACGUUACUGGACAGGAACAAAAAAGGAAAGUUCACCCAGGUCAUCACCGAGAGCAAAACGUAUUGGAACACCUCAGAAGCCAGGUCCCGCAAGGUCACUUAAUAGUAGACAAGAGCUAAUCUUGGUGUUAAUGAAACUAAGGCUAGCACUAACUGUCUCUUUCUUGGCAGGCUUAUUUCACGUCGCAAGCAGUACAGUAUCUCAGAUCUUUAAUUCAUGGAUAAAGUUCUUAGCAGCUGAUCUAAAGCCAUUAAUUCAUUGGCCUGACAAGCUAUCAAUCCAAAUGAAAAUGCCUAAGUCCCUGCAAAAAAACCACCAGCAUAUAAGAUGUACCUUAAAUUGCACUGAAGUCUUUAUUGGUCGGCCAAGGAAUUUAGCUAAGCAAGCUCUUACUUGGUCUGACUAUAAGAAACAUAAUACUGUAAAAUUUCUCGUAGCAAUUGCUCCCAAUGGUAUGAUAUCAUUCCUUUCACAUGCUUGGGGUGGUAGAGCUUCUGAUGUGCUCAUUACUCGAAAAUCAGGGAUUUUGGAAUUAAUUGAUCCUGGUGAUGUGGUUCUUGUAGAUAGGGGUUUUUUAAUCAAGGAAGAUCUACUACUGAGAGGUGCAAAACUAGAAAUGCCCCCUCCUAGCAAAGGUAAAGAACAACAAACCCCUGGUGAUGUUGCAAAAACGAAGAAAAUUGCAAAUGCUAGGAUACAUGUUGAAAGGGCAAUAGGAAGAAUUAAAUGGUUUGGCAUCUUAAAGGAGACUCUGCCUAUUUCUCUUGUUCCCCUUAUUGAUGAUAUUGUAGUUGUAUGUGCAGCUCUUGUCAAUUUGCGCAGCCCCUUGGUUAAGUAAAAUAUGUGAGGUUGGUGUCCAUAAUACAGUCGACCUUAUUGGUAGAAGUCAAUGGCAUUUCUAAAUCAACUCCUCCUUUUUUGGUUUAAACCUUUCGUGAAAGUCACUUUUUCUUUUAUUUAUGAUUUUCUUUGACCCAAUCAAAUAACUUUUAGGCAAGGUUGACUGUAUUGACUACCGUAAAUUGAUUUAGUUUUCUGGCAUGUAAUCAUAUGUUCUUUUUAUAUGCUUUUAUAUAUUAUUCAAGUACCGGUAUGUCAAUAAUCAUUGUAAUUUUUUUAUUGAGUUUUCGUACGAUUUAUGGUAAAUACAUUUUCUUGUACAUGUAAAAAUAUGUUCGUUUUGAACAAACCUUCAUUUUAGAAGUUAAAAUUUUAUUGUAGGGUCCAUUUCUGUUAACAAGACCAGGCUUAUUUACAAAUCCUCAUAACUGUAGAGACGCAUAUGUGCAAAAUUUGUUAAAUCAAUUAAAUUGCCUGGUGACGAUGUUAAAACAGAAGUGAACUUUACCCACUGUACAUCACCCAUUCUCAAGUUCACACUCGCUAGUUCUCAGUCUCUCUCUCUUUCUCUCGCUCACACUCACACACACGUAAAUUCAUGCAACUGAAAAUAGGACAGACAGAACAUCAUUUAGAAAAGUGAUCAGCUUGAUUUGUUGAAUGUAUACAGGGUAUUUUAAUUCCAGUUUGUUUCCUUUUUAUUUAUGAAUCUCAAAUACAUUUCGAUUUCCAAACAAAAUGAAGUGUUGAUACAAAACAAUAAUAUAUGCCAUUUUACCAGGUAUCUUUCAUGUAUGUAAUUACUGUAGUUACAGUGUAUAUAAAACAUGAAGUGUACUCAUUUGAAAUACAUGUAUAAUGUGUAAGAAUGCAUAUAAAAUUGAUUGCAAAGUGACCAUCUGUACACAACUUUAGAAUCACUGCAAGUAACGGCUUGUACUAUGUCUAUGCAGUAAAUUGUUAAGAGUAAUCUAUCAUAAUUUACAUUGAAUAAAGUAGAAAAAACAAAAUA
Long non-coding RNA from Lytechinus pictus (painted urchin), 3042 nucleotides. RefSeq lists it as uncharacterized. The transcript is spliced from 2 exons. The record is from RefSeq and is a predicted model, not a curated record. Lineage: Eukaryota; Metazoa; Echinodermata; Echinoidea; Temnopleuroida; Toxopneustidae.